GAACGACUCUCGGCAACGGAUAUCUCGGCUCUUGCAUCGAUGAAGAACGUAGCGAAAUGCGAUACUUGGUGUGAAUUGCAGAAUCCCGUGAACCAUCGAGUCUUUGGACGCAAGUUGCGCCCGAAGCCAUUAGGCCGAGGGCACGCCUGCCUGGGUGUCACAC
Molecule: ribosomal RNA, 163 nt
Filed under: Lespedeza cyrtobotrya
Lineage: Eukaryota; Viridiplantae; Streptophyta; Magnoliopsida; Fabales; Fabaceae
Description: 5.8S ribosomal RNA
Rfam family: 5.8S ribosomal RNA
About the family: 5.8S ribosomal RNA (5.8S rRNA) is a component of the large subunit of the eukaryotic ribosome. It is transcribed by RNA polymerase I as part of the 45S precursor that also contains 18S and 28S rRNA.
Source: RNAcentral